Molecule: ribosomal RNA, 466 nt
Filed under: uncultured bacterium
Lineage: Bacteria
Description: partial 16S ribosomal RNA
Rfam family: Bacterial small subunit ribosomal RNA
Source: RNAcentral
GACGAACGCUGGCGGCGUGCUUAACACAUGCUAGUCGAACGGAAAGGCCCUGCUUGCAGGGUACUCGAGUGGCGAACGGGUGAGUAACACGUGGGUGAUCUGCCCUGCACUUCGGGAUAAGCUUGGGAAACUGGGUCUAAUACCGGAUAGGAGCCAUCUUUAGUGUGGUGGUUGGAAAGUUUUUUCGGUGUAGGAUGAGCUCGCGGCCUAUCAGCUUGUUGGUGGGGUAAUGGCCUACCAAGGCGGCGACGGGUAGCCGGCCUGAGAGGGUGUACGGCCACAUUGGGACUGAGAUACGGCCCAGACUCCUACGGGAGGCAGCAGUGGGGAAUAUUGCACAAUGGGCGCAAGCCUGAUGCAGCGACGCCGCGUGGGGGAUGAAGGCCUUCGGGUUGUAAACUCCUUUCGCUAGGGACGAAGCUUUGUUGUGACGGUACCUAGAUAAGAAGCACCGGCUAACUACGUG